UCAUUAUCACUAAUGAGAAAUCAGAAUCAAAUAAAAUCAUAAUCAAAGCAACACAAAAUCUAAUAAAAUCACUAUCAUAUAUGACUAAUAAAAUCACUAAUAAAAUCAAAAUCGGAAUUAAAUCAACACAGUAUCAACACAAAAUCAAAUAAAAUCAUAAAGCACUAUAAUGCAAAUAGAAAAAAAAUCAAAUAAAGUAGAAAAACGAGGAAUUUGC
RNAcentral lists this long non-coding RNA (217 nucleotides) under Lathyrus oleraceus (garden pea). Its description in RNAcentral is "Pisum sativum (pea) long non-coding RNA (PSAT_LNC026593)". Lineage: Eukaryota; Viridiplantae; Streptophyta; Magnoliopsida; Fabales; Fabaceae. The record is from RNAcentral.